GAUCAUGGCUCAGGACGAACGCUGGCGGCGCGCCUAACACAUGCAAGUCGAACGAGCGAGAGAGAGUUUACUUUUUCGAGCGAGUGGCGAACGGGUGAGUAACGCGUGAGGAACCCUGCCUCAAAGAGGGGGACAACAGUUGGAAACGACUGCUAAUACCGCAUAAGCCCACGGCUCGGCAUCGAGCAGAGGGAAAAGGAGCGAUCCGCUUUGAGAUGGCCUCGCGUCCGAUUAG
This 235-nucleotide ribosomal RNA is filed under the name uncultured bacterium. RNAcentral's name for it is "partial 16S ribosomal RNA". It matches the Rfam family "Bacterial small subunit ribosomal RNA", at positions 15 to 244 of the family's 1533-position model. The record is from RNAcentral.